Molecule: ribosomal RNA, 431 nt
Filed under: Bacillus cereus
Lineage: Bacteria; Bacillati; Bacillota; Bacilli; Caryophanales; Bacillaceae
Description: bacterial SSU rRNA
Rfam family: Bacterial small subunit ribosomal RNA
Source: RNAcentral
GCGUAAGCGCGCGCAGGUGGUUUCUUAAGUCUGAUGUGAAAGCCCACGGCUCAACCGUGGAGGGUCAUUGGAAACUGGGAGACUUGAGUGCCGAAGAGGAAAGUGGAAUUCCAUGUGUAGCGGUGAAAUGCGUAGAGAUAUGGAGGAACACCAGUGGCGAAGGCGACUUUCUGGUCUGUAACUGACACUGAGGCGCGAAAGCGUGGGGAGCAAACAGGAUUAGAUACCCUGGUAGUCCACGCCGUAAACGAUGAGUGCUAAGUGUUAGAGGGUUUCCGCCCUUUAGUGCUGAAGUUAACGCAUUAAGCACUCCGCCUGGGGAGUACGGCCGCAAGGCUGAAACUCAAAGGAAUUGACGGGGGCCCGCACAAGCGGUGGAGCAUGUGGUUUAAUUCAAAUCAACACGAAGAACCUUACCAGGUCUUGACAUC